AUUGAACGCUGGCGGCAGGCCUAACACAUGCAAGUCGAGCGGAUGAAGGGAGCUUGCUCCUGGAUUCAGCGGCGGACGGGUGAGUAAUGCCUAGGAAUCUGCCUGGUAGUGGGGGAUAACGUCCGGAAACGGGCGCUAAUACCGCAUACGUCCUGAGGGAGAAAGUGGGGGAUCUUCGGACCUCACGCUAUCAGAUGAGCCUAGGUCGGAUUAGCUAGUUGGUGGGGUAAAGGCCUACCAAGGCGACGAUCCGUAACUGGUCUGAGAGGAUGAUCAGUCACACUGGAACUGAGACACGGUCCAGACUCCUACGGGAGGCAGCAGUGGGGAAUAUUGGGCAAUGGGCGAAAGCCUGAUCCAGCCAUGCCGCGUGUGUGAAGAAGGUCUUCUGAUUGUAAAGCACUUUAAGUUGGGAGGAAGGGCAGUAAGUUAAUACCUUGCUGUUUUGACGUUACCAACAGAAUAAGCACCGGCUAACUUCGUA
Molecule: ribosomal RNA, 484 nt
Filed under: uncultured bacterium
Lineage: Bacteria
Description: partial 16S ribosomal RNA
Rfam family: Bacterial small subunit ribosomal RNA
Source: RNAcentral